This 497-nucleotide ribosomal RNA is filed under the name uncultured bacterium. Its description in RNAcentral is "partial 16S ribosomal RNA". It matches the Rfam family "Bacterial small subunit ribosomal RNA", at positions 28 to 507 of the family's 1533-position model. The record is from RNAcentral.
GAUGAACGCUGGCGGCGUGCCUAAUACAUGCAAGUCGAGCGAACAGACGAGGAGCUUGCUCCUCUGACGUUAGCGGCGGACGGGUGAGUAACACGUGGAUAACCUACCUAUAAGACUGGGAUAACUUCGGGAAACCGGAGCUAAUACCGGAUAAUAUAUUGAACCGCAUGGUUCAAUAGUGAAAGACGGUUUUGCUGUCACUUAUAGAUGGAUCCGCGCCGCAUUAGCUAGUUGGUAAGGUAACGGCUUACCAAGGCAACGAUGCGUAGCCGACCUGAGAGGGUGAUCGGCCACACUGGAACGGAGACACGGUCCAGACUCCUACGGGAGGCAGCAGUAGGGAAUCUUCCGCAAUGGGCGAAAGCCUGACGGAGCAACGCCGCGUGAGUGAUGAAGGUCUUCGGAUCGUAAAACUCUGUUAUUAGGGAAGAACAAAUGUGUAAGUAACUAUGCACGUCUUGACGGUACCUAAUCAGAAAGCCCCGGCUAACUACGUG